This 274-nucleotide ribosomal RNA is filed under the name uncultured bacterium. RNAcentral's name for it is "partial 16S ribosomal RNA". It matches the Rfam family "Bacterial small subunit ribosomal RNA", at positions 523 to 796 of the family's 1533-position model. The record is from RNAcentral.
AUACGAGGGGUGCAAGCGUUAAUCGGAAUUACUGGGCGUAAAGCGUUCGUAGGCGGUUUGUGAAGCAAGAUGUGAAAGCCCUGGGCUCAACCUGGGAACUGCAUUUUGAACUGGCAAACUAGAAUACUGUAGAGGGUGGUGGAAUUUCCAGUGUAGCGGUGAAAUGCGUAGAGAUUGGAAGGAACAUCAGUGGCGAAGGCGGCCACCUGGACAGAUAUUGACGCUGAGGAACGAAAGCGUGGGGAGCGAACAGGAUUAGAAACCCUUGUAGUCC